UUAAAUUGAAGAGUUUGAUCAUGGCUCAGAUUGAACGCUGGCGGCAGGCCUAACACAUGCAAGUCGAACGGUAACAGGAAGCAGCUUGCUGUUUCGCUGACGAGUGGCGGACGGGUGAGUAAUGUCUGGGAAACUGCC
Molecule: ribosomal RNA, 138 nt
Filed under: Escherichia coli
Lineage: Bacteria; Pseudomonadati; Pseudomonadota; Gammaproteobacteria; Enterobacterales; Enterobacteriaceae
Also listed under: 1 other name
Description: partial 16S ribosomal RNA
Rfam family: Bacterial small subunit ribosomal RNA
Source: RNAcentral